This is a long non-coding RNA of Hippopotamus amphibius kiboko, 150 nucleotides long. RefSeq lists it as uncharacterized. The record is from RefSeq and is a predicted model, not a curated record. NCBI's taxonomy places the organism in Eukaryota, Metazoa, Chordata, Mammalia, Artiodactyla, Hippopotamidae. The transcript is spliced from 3 exons.
UCCAUUUAUAUGAGGCAUCCAAAGUCGUCGGUCAUCAAACCAGAAAUAUUCCUGCUGGAGACAUUAUCCCUCUACACAAGAGGAAAAUCAGAGCUAGAGAAUACUUAAGAGAAAAGACAGACAUUUGCAGUGAGUAAGCAUCCUUUGUGC